AUACGGAGGGUGCAAGCGUUACUCGGAAUCACUGGGCGUAAAGCGCGCGCAGGCGGUCUUUUAAGUGGGAUGUGAAAGCCUACGGCUCAACCGUAGAACUGCAUCCAAAACUAUUAGACUAGAGUGUGGGAGAGGAAGAUGGAAUUAGUUGUGUAGGGGUAAAAUCCGUAGAGAUAACUAGGAAUACCAAAAGCGAAGGCAAUCUUCUGGAACACUACUGACGCUGAGGCGCGAAAGCGUGGGGAGCAAACAGGAUUAGAUACCCCAGUAGUCC
RNAcentral lists this ribosomal RNA (274 nucleotides) under uncultured bacterium. Its description in RNAcentral is "partial 16S ribosomal RNA". It matches the Rfam family "Bacterial small subunit ribosomal RNA", at positions 523 to 796 of the family's 1533-position model. The record is from RNAcentral.